This is a long non-coding RNA of Anolis carolinensis (green anole), 664 nucleotides long. RefSeq lists it as uncharacterized. The transcript is spliced from 2 exons. The record is from RefSeq and is a predicted model, not a curated record. Lineage: Eukaryota; Metazoa; Chordata; Lepidosauria; Squamata; Anolidae.
AAAACUUCUUCUACAAAGGGAGUCUUUCUUGACCUUUAAAUUAAACUCUGUAUUCCCCAAAGGACUGAAUGAUAGGAUUGAUUUCACCUGUUAUCUUUAGUGAAUUGAGUAUUUCAGUUCACCAUGCAAGCCAUAGGGCACUUGCAACUUGAGAAAAAACACAGAGCCCUGCAAGAGUAACGACGUAAAUUGACUACAUUGAAAAGCCUUGAACUGAAGCAGGACCAAGCAAGUAAUUAAGAUUAAAGAGACAGCAAUAAAUCCACAACAUACCGCAGAAGAUUCUGAGAAUCUCAGUAAGAAGAAAAAUACCAUACAUCAAAAGACUAUUUAAGACCUUACAUAAAUAACAACAACCUGAAGAAGGACUUCCCGAAACGAGGCAGUGUACCCGGGAUUACUUGUUAAGACCGCGUUGCAUAGUUUUGUUCUACAUACACACAACAGCUGUGGACUGUUUUCCGUUGAGUUUGAUGUAUGCUUUACUUUAUAUGUUACUCAAUAAGGUUGUAUAAUUGUAUAUAUACCAUAAUUGUGGACUGUUUUCAGUUGGAGGUUUAUGUGUGUUUUGCUUUAUAUGUUUCACAAUAAGUUAGUACCCGGUUGGGACUGUAAAGAAAAUACUCUAUAUACUAGCAUACCACAAUACACACGCUAAAACCUA